Oncorhynchus kisutch (coho salmon) is the source of this 202-nucleotide small nuclear RNA. Its record names the gene U2. It matches the Rfam family "U2 spliceosomal RNA". Rfam says of the family: U2 is a small nuclear RNA (snRNA) component of the spliceosome (involved in pre-mRNA splicing). Complementary binding between U2 snRNA (in an area lying towards the 5' end but 3' to hairpin I) and the branchpoint sequence (BPS) of the intron results the bulging out of an unpaired adenosine, on the BPS, which initiates a nucleophilic attack at the intronic 5' splice site, thus starting the first of two transesterification reactions that mediate splicing. Lineage: Eukaryota; Metazoa; Chordata; Actinopteri; Salmoniformes; Salmonidae. The record is from Ensembl.
UUGGCUUCUCUGCCUUUUGGCUAAGAUCAAGUGUAGUAUCUCUUAAAAAUCUGUUCCUGUCAGUUUAAUAUCUGCUACGUCCCUUAUCUGGGGACCAUAUAUGAAAUUGUAUUUUGGAACGGGGAGAUGGAAUGGGGGCUUGCUCUGUCCCCUGCACGCAUCGACCUAGUAAUGCAGGCUCUCCAGGAAGGGUGCACCUCUC